AAUGCGGUGCCUGAUAUAAAGGAUAGUUUUGAUAGAACUAAUAAUGUGGCUCCCCACCCGCAUUA
Molecule: transfer RNA, 65 nt
Filed under: Engaeus quadrimanus
Lineage: Eukaryota; Metazoa; Arthropoda; Malacostraca; Decapoda; Parastacidae
Description: tRNA-Ile
Source: RNAcentral